RNAcentral lists this ribosomal RNA (238 nucleotides) under uncultured bacterium. Its description in RNAcentral is "partial 16S ribosomal RNA". It matches the Rfam family "Bacterial small subunit ribosomal RNA", at positions 95 to 334 of the family's 1533-position model. The record is from RNAcentral.
CCGGCGCACGGGUGGGUAACACGUAUCCAACCUGCCGUCUACUCUUGGACAGCCUUCUGAAAGGAAGAUUAAUACAAGAUGGCAUCAUGAGUUCACAUGUUCACAUGAUUAAAGGUAUUCCGGUAGACGAUGGGGAUGCGUUCCAUUAGAUAGUAGGCGGGGUAACGGCCCACCUAGUCUUCGAUGGAUAGGGGUCUGAGAGGAAGGUCCCCCACAUUGGAACUGAGACACGGUCCAA